Molecule: long non-coding RNA, 236 nt
Filed under: Manihot esculenta (cassava)
Lineage: Eukaryota; Viridiplantae; Streptophyta; Magnoliopsida; Malpighiales; Euphorbiaceae
Description: long non-coding RNA (MESC_LNC002083)
Source: RNAcentral
UUUGCAUGAAACAGAGCAGGGUUCUGCCCAGCGGGCAAAACCAGGUUCGGCCGCCGAAGGAAUGUUCGGCCGCCGAACCCCUUGUGGAGGCAGUUUCGGCUGCCAAAGCUUGCCCCCGAAACUUGGGACUUUCGUCUCUGGAGGCAAGGUUCGGCCGCCGAAAGUGCCGCCGAAGGUUGAGUUUCGUCUCUGGACGAGACUUUCGGCUGCCGAAGGUGCCGCCGAACAUGCAUGAG